ACGACUGUUAGCAAAACGGAAUGGAAAGUCCGGCCAUAGCAGGUGAUAGCCCUGUAUGCGAAAACAGACGUGUGGUACUAAGCUAGAGAAAAGUAGGGCGGGACACGAGAAAUCCUGUCUGAACAUGGGGGGACCAUCCUCCAAGGCUAAAUACUCCUGACCGACCGAUAGUGAACCAGUACCGUGAGGGAAAGGCGAAAAGAACCCCGGAGAGGGGAGUGAAAUAGAACCUGAAACCGUGUGCAUACAAGCAGUCGGAGCCC
Molecule: ribosomal RNA, 263 nt
Filed under: Aurantiochytrium limacinum
Lineage: Eukaryota; Bigyra; Thraustochytrida; Thraustochytriidae
Description: partial Bacterial large subunit ribosomal RNA
Rfam family: Bacterial large subunit ribosomal RNA
Source: RNAcentral